RNAcentral lists this long non-coding RNA (457 nucleotides) under Lathyrus oleraceus (garden pea). Its description in RNAcentral is "Pisum sativum (pea) long non-coding RNA (PSAT_LNC035668)". The record is from RNAcentral. Lineage: Eukaryota; Viridiplantae; Streptophyta; Magnoliopsida; Fabales; Fabaceae.
UUUUAAGCUAAUGCCAAAAGUGCUUUUUGGAUGUUUAUGUUAACCUUAUGGAUAAAGCUUCAAACUGAGUAAUUUGUUUAGUUAUUUUUCAGUUUUUUAAGCGUUUUUGAAAAGUGCUUUUUGAAUAAGCUGUUUUUUGAUUUUGAAUUGGUUUUUGCAGGUGAAGUGAUGUUGAUGCUGAUUGAUUGAAAAAGGGGCACUAUUAUUCAACAGGUUUUUUGGAAAAGUUCUGAAGAGUUGCUUUUGAAUUGAGAACUUCCAAAAGAGCUUUUGGAAGAGUCUGUGAAAUUUGCUGUCUUAUUCCAAUUUUUUAAUAAAAUUAUUUCUGAUGUAACAGAGACCUUUUAGAUUAUGAACUUAGGGAUUGCUUGUAACAUGUACAAACUUUAAUUUGGAAUUUCUCUUUUUGGCCAGUUAUGCAAUUGUUUUGGAUUAUUAGGAAUUUUUUUGAAUUAAA